Manis javanica (Malayan pangolin) is the source of this 1755-nucleotide non-coding RNA. The record is from RefSeq and is a predicted model, not a curated record. NCBI's taxonomy places the organism in Eukaryota, Metazoa, Chordata, Mammalia, Pholidota, Manidae.
UAAUUGUCCUCCUCUGAACACAACUUUCCAGGGUAUUUUGCAUUGGCCUUGUUUCUCUCUGCUGGCUUCCCUGUUGCAAGCAGAUCAAAGUAUUCUGGUGCAAAGAGCCGCAGGAAUAUGUGUGUGUGCAUGUGCAUAUUUGAAAUUUUAAGCAAAGAAUUCAGGGCCUGGGGUUAGAGGCAUCCUGAGAAUCUGGCCCUCUGAUAUUUUCUUCCUUCUCCCAGCUUUCCCCAGUGUGCAGUGGUAGGGCUGGGCAACCUGGGGAAAAGGGGAGAAGGUGACUCAGUUCCUUUCUCUGGUGACUGCCGGCGUGUCAUGCUGGGGUGUGUGCAUGGGCUGUGUGGACAGAGGCCUGGGGUUUCCUGGUGGGCAGGCCACAGCCCACCCUGCAGCCUCUAGGCCCCUGCCCCCUGGAGAGCUGCCAGCUGGCCCCUGGGCCUGUGUGGUAGACAAGCAGGGACACGGGAUGCUCACAUCCAAGGUGGCCUGUGCUUUGGGAAGUUGGGGGAACAAUUCCUGGCCUCGACCAGAAGUUGUUCCCGACUCCAGCCGACAUUGGGAAGGGUUCCCCUGCUGUAGCCCAGGUGUUCAGAGCUGCCUUUGCUCUGCGUCUGGGGUGCCCCCAGUUCCCAUGGACCAUAUGUUCUGCACCUCUUAAUUUCAAACAUGUAGUUUUAGUAAAUUAAUUUUAUUGCUUAUGUAGACUCAGUGAGUUGCCUGUGAAAAACAACCCUUGCAAAACAAAGUGAAACCAGACUUGUGAAAAACUUAGAUUCAGCAACUGGUAAUAGUUCUGGGCUUCCAGCCUCUGGUUUGGUCACAGCUCACAGGGCAGUAGCCCAGGUCCUCAGAAGUACAGGGAAGAGACCAGUGUCCCUGGGAAUCUAAUCCCCCAUUCUUAGGAAGAUCAUGUAUAGAGACUGUAAGGAGAACAUUUCUGUUUUGCACCACCCAUUGGGGAGACAGAAACUCACCCCGAAUCUCCAUGCUGUGAGCUGUCAUAUUUUAAAACAAAAUGCUGCCCUUUGCCACUCACGAUUAUGUGACAGGGAAAGACACCGAGAUUCCUGAAAAGUGCUGUGAGUCUUGCCCACUUUGGUUUUCUCUGGGUAAAGAUUUCUGAGUUUUUUUCUCCCAAAGUCAGCAUUUAAAUGACUUGUCUAAAUAAGAGCUCCAUUUACAUGGGCCCUGUGGUCAGGUUAGCUGAGGCCAGUAGAGAGAGGCCUUCCACUGUGACACUGCGGCUGGGUGGGCCCUGGGCAGCCUCCCCUGGCUGCAGCCACGAUGCCGGCAGAGGCCGAGCUCUGGCCAUAUCCAGGGUAUUUAUGGAGCUGGCCCAGUCUGUCCCUCUCAGAGGGCUGUUUGGUGGCCUGCUGUGGCUCACACCUGCCUGCCCCACUCACCCCUCAGUCCCCUGCCUGCUAGGCUUCUCCUCUUGAAUGGACAGCACCCAGCCCAGCACACAUGUAAAUCCACUGGGCAGUUGAACUGAGAAUAAGGUUUAGAGCAGGGCUUCCAGGGUAGGGCUGUUGUUCUGUAUUUAAUUUAGAAGCACAAUUUCCUGGCCUGUUGUCCUGAUGUGAGGCAUUUCUGUCUCAAUUCUAGGACUGGUUGCCAUAAAGGACGCCCACGAUAUAGAAACCAGGCUUAAUGAGGUGGAGAAGCUGUUAAAGACCAUCAUAAGCAUGCCGUGUAAAUAUUCCAGGUCAGAAGUUGUGCUCACCUUCUUCGAAAGAUCUCCACUGGAUCAGGUGU